UUUUAAUAUAAGGUGAUGAAGGUGUCUACCAGAAUCAGGAUAUUAAAUGUGCUAAUGUCCAGGGAUAUUGGGCUUUUAGGGGAAAGUGGUCGAUAUCUGCCCAGUAUUCCGAGUUACCUCACCCUCGUUUCAGGCAUGGUGGAACCCCCAAAGAUCGCUCGGGCAAUGACCUCGAGAUUAUAUAUUCUGCCCGUAUAGGGUGGUACAGGGUUAUUCCCCUUGAAUUUAUCCGCGAAGCUGUAUCUUUUAUCAAAUCGUAUUGAAGCCUGGCCAGAAAAAAUUUUAAAUAUUUAUUAAAAAUGAAAGAAAAAUAAAAC
This 317-nucleotide unclassified non-coding RNA is filed under the name Bombus terrestris (buff-tailed bumblebee). RNAcentral's name for it is "misc RNA ENSBTSG00005024435.1". Lineage: Eukaryota; Metazoa; Arthropoda; Insecta; Hymenoptera; Apidae. The record is from RNAcentral.